AAAGCCGGUGUAGCCUUCUUCCGAGUUCUCAUACACAGCCGAGGGGUUGAACUUGCUCUCAAAAUAAGCCAGGCACACCCCUAGGAGGUGGGACAGCAAGUGGCGUGCGUGUCCAAGCUGCCAUCUCCAAUCACAACUGAGCAAUGGCCCCAAAGCGUGCACAGAGUGUCACCUUGAGACACUACCGGCGCUCCAUUCCCUGUUUUACACGUCCUCUGGAACCUGGCUUUACCCUGCCAAGCUUCCAUCGAGAGGAAGCAACUCAGCCAUGGAGAACUCUCAGCUCACCCUGCCUGGACCUGUCGGCACGUGCCACGCCCCUUACGCCACGUGCCUGCUGGAGUCUCACCUUGGUGCUCUGGGACACGGGUCUUCCCCACCCACAGAGCCCCACCCACACCAUCCGCACCCAUGUACUCGCUCUCUCUUCAUCUGCUGGCCCCCACCCCUGGAGACCCCCUGGUGGCUGAUGGGGCCUCAUGAGUCCCCUUCCCCUGCCCAGCCCUUGCUGCUCACAGUCCCUGCCUUGACCCCAAGAGUGAGAACCCUGUUUUUGGUCUUUAUCCCACGCCUCACAAAGAGAAGCUACGACUGGAAAGCCAGGCCCAGCCGCUCCCCAAUGUCCCUACACUUUGUCCCUACAGACCAGUGAGCAGGCACCCUCACACUGCUAUGUUGCCAUUCACAUGGGUAUGAGCAUCCUUGAGGUGAUAAUUCUCCUACACCAGGGGCUCUAAGCCGUGGCUUGGGCUAGAAAGUUCUUUGGGGAUUAGAGUCCUGGCGCACCUGGUGGUAGUUUAGGCGUGCACUGUUUCCCUUGAGCUCCCAUGUUUGAACCCCUGGCCUCCAGGUGGUGAUGCUGUCCCCUUGGGGUCUGGUGAUUGGACGCUUGUCGCCCAGGUGGUGAUGCUGUUUCUGGAGGGUUCAAGAGCCCUUGAACGGUGACACCUGUCCCACUUUCUAGCUGUUCUCUGCUUCCUGACUGCAGAAACAAUGUGACAAGUCACCCUGUGGUUUUAUAAAUGGGCGUAGUCACCCCUCUGCUUCCUGACUGAAGAUACAAUGUGACAAGUCACCCUGUGGUUUUACAAAUGGGUGUAGUCACCUCAUGCUCUUGUCACCAAGACUGGCAGUGCCCUUAAACUAGAGCCACAGCUAAAUCUUUCCAUCUUUAUGUUGCCAGGCAAUUUAGUCCCCUCUGUGACAAGCAAAAUGUCCUCUGGAGAAUAAAAGUGCUCUCUAUCGUUAA
Molecule: long non-coding RNA, 1249 nt
Organism: Mesocricetus auratus (golden hamster)
Lineage: Eukaryota; Metazoa; Chordata; Mammalia; Rodentia; Cricetidae
Exons: 2
Source: RefSeq, a predicted model, not a curated record